This 81-nucleotide transfer RNA is filed under the name Ixodes scapularis (black-legged tick). It matches the Rfam family "tRNA". Rfam says of the family: Transfer RNA (tRNA) molecules are approximately 80 nucleotides in length. Their secondary structure includes four short double-helical elements and three loops (D, anti-codon, and T loops). The record is from Rfam by way of RNAcentral. Lineage: Eukaryota; Metazoa; Arthropoda; Arachnida; Ixodida; Ixodidae.
GCAGUCGUGGCCGAUUGGUUAAGGUGAUGGACUAGAAAUCCAUCCGAGUCUCCCACACAGGUUCGAAUCUUGUCGACUGCG